AUGCAGAUAUAAUGAAUCGAAAAAUGGCGAUGAAUGAAGGAAAGAGUGUGCAGGAAAAAAAUAAUGUAGACUGUCUAUCGGUACGAGCACAUUAUUCUACUCUUUGUUAAAAACACGUUUUAGAGAAAUGUCUGUUUUUUUUUAAUUUUGAGAGAGCUUUGUACUUAUGACAUGGAGAAUGUUGUUUUCUUCAAUUUAUAAAAACUUUUUUAUUCUUCAAACUAUUUUUUAAUUAGUAAACGACACGCAAAGAAAUUUUUUGCAUGAAACAUCGAUUUUGCAUAAAUCUAUGAAAACUAAAAUUUCGAAAUUUGUUGUCAAGGUGAUUUUGUUUGUUUCAUGAUGCCUUCACAUCAAAUCGGCUUCGAUAUUUCACCAUAGAUUACCCAAAAUUUCGAACAGCUUGGUGGUGUACUUCAAAUACUCGUGGAUGAACUAUUGUGACUCAUAAAUUACGCUUAUAUAGCGACGAAAAUUGCUAUCUGAUAUAUUUUUUAUGGGGCUCUUAAAUGGAAAUGUACUCUAUCUACGACUUUUAAUAACGAGUUUGGAGCUGGUAAAAUAUCUGAACUUCUUGGAAAUCUACUGAAAAUGCACUGGAAUGUAAACACGCAAGGCCACAUGAGUAAUUUCUGUUGGGUUUGGACGUAUGACGCAACCUAAUGCAACUAAAGCGCUAAGAGUGCUGUCCUUGCGCUGUCUGUCACGCUUGACUGAGCACAGCUUCUCUGGGCCCCGCUGCUUCCCUGAUCAAGAAAAUGUGGAGGAAAACAAUUUUAGGAAUUCACAAACCCAGUUUACGGAAAUGCAGGUCUCAGUGUAUUGAUAGAUAAACUCUUUGGACCCAUCAACUUUGUUACAGGCUCGGUUAAACCGCAACUACAAUCAGAACAAACAAACUCCUGAGUUUCUUGACUUCCGACUUAAUUCUCUGGAAUGGGGAGUGCCUCAGCUAAAAAAAAAUGAGAAUUUUUACCAUCUGUUUGUCAUCCCAUCUUUCUCAUAAUUUUUCAGUUGUUAUUAU
Long non-coding RNA from Belonocnema kinseyi, 1024 nucleotides. RefSeq lists it as uncharacterized. The transcript is spliced from 5 exons. NCBI's taxonomy places the organism in Eukaryota, Metazoa, Arthropoda, Insecta, Hymenoptera, Cynipidae. The record is from RefSeq and is a predicted model, not a curated record.